Molecule: long non-coding RNA, 1191 nt
Filed under: Homo sapiens (human)
Lineage: Eukaryota; Metazoa; Chordata; Mammalia; Primates; Hominidae
Description: HSALNT0332481
Source: RNAcentral
CAGAGCUAGACUGCAGAAGAAAAAGAGAAAGAGAGGGGAGAAGAGGUCAAGUGUGGAAACAGCAAGAAGGCUGCUGUCUGCAAGCCAAGAAGAGAGCCCUCGCCAGAAACCAAAUUAUCCAGACCCUGGAUAUUGGAUUUCCAGCCUCCAGAAUGCUCCUUGAGGUGCAACUGCAUUACAUUUCUACUGACCAGUACUGUGCCAGAUUGAUGACCAGCCAAUACUUGAGUGUUUAUGAUAUGGCAGCAGCUGUUUAACCACCUAAAAGUACUGUAGACCUAGCAUACCCACACUUCCUAUAAGAAAGGUAUCAAUGUCCCCACUUUACAGAAACUGAAGCAGACACACUAGAGAUUAAUUUGUCUGGAAUUACAGAGCUAGUAGGUAGAAUCUGAACCCCGUGGCAAUCUGUAUCCAAAAAGCAGACUUUUACCUCUAUUAUUUUGAUAGAGGCAUGGGACAGCCAAAUGCCUAGGCAAAUAGGGUAAGGUCCCUGGAGAACCUCCAACCUGCCCAAGUCAUUGUGCACAGGGGGCUUGGCUAAACAUGCCCACGGUGAAAAAUUCCAUCUUUUAACACAUGUGCAAUAAGGGAAAUAAAUCAAUGUGGAGUGGCUCAGACUAAGGGCCCACGUGCACAUUGGAAGAAUGAGGAGGAGUCACCAGGAAUUCACACCUUAUGCAGGGGAGGAGCCUGGCCUUUUCAACUCGUAUGUGAUGGCCUGGUAUUCAAUUUGUGAGGUGGAAACCUGUGUUUGGGAUCCCUCUUUUUGUUAAGAGCUUUCCUUUCACUUAAUAAAUUCCAUCCUCCUCACCCUUCAAUGUAUCCACAUGCCUAAUUUUUCCUGGUUGUGAGACAAGGACCCAGAUUUAGCUGAACUAAGGAGCAAGAAAUCCUGCAUCAAUUUUAAUAAAUUGCAUAACUGAUAAAAGGCAGGAAGAAAGACUCACACUUAAUCUGAAAGAAAUCCCACAAAGUUGAAAUAAGCACCCUUUACUCAUGUUUAAAUCAAAGUACUAAAAACUACAACUGCUCAACAGCAUAUAAACAUUUCUUUUCAACACCAAUUUGAUUUAAUUUAAACACUGAGCACCUACUGACAUGUGAACUCUCUGAAUUAGUAACAGGGCCUACAAAGACUGAUAACAACAUGCUCCCUUCUUUGAUAAAGUCAUAAAGGCAGUGGGUGGG